Long non-coding RNA from Armigeres subalbatus, 1252 nucleotides. RefSeq lists it as uncharacterized. The transcript has 3 exons. The record is from RefSeq and is a predicted model, not a curated record. Lineage: Eukaryota; Metazoa; Arthropoda; Insecta; Diptera; Culicidae.
CUUAGAUUGGUUUACCUAUUUAUGGGUACUUGGUUCACUCAUAUAUGGGUAAACUCAAUAAUAUCAAUAUUAUUAGUAGAAUUUACUCAAAAAUUUGGUAAAAUUUACUGAUAUUCUAAAAAAAACUGACUUUACCUAUAUUUGAGUAACUGACUUCACCCAUAUUUGGGUGAAAAAAUAAACAUCAACAAAUCUGAAGUGAUGGCCACCGCGUCGCAGCUUUUUUUAAAUUUCCCCCUUUUAUUUUAAACUAAAGUCGAAAACCGCUGAUGUUACGAGUGCACUUAUUCAUAUAUGAAUAUAAGGUGGCAGCUUUUCGACGAUCUGUUUCAGUUCCGAUCUCGGUUCCGAUCAAUAGCACCAUAUCGAUCAUCUUGCAGGUGGUGAUCGACGAUUAUACCGGAGAUAGCAAGAACGGACACUACUUCCCGGGGGAGAUCUUCUAUUCACAGCUGCGAGCCUUUGACCCCAAACGGCUUGGAACAUUUUAGAGAGACUACAGUGCUUCAGCAUCGAUGUUCCUCCAGCAACCGCCUCAGCUUUGACGUUAGGAGCGCUAAAGGCAUACAUUGCAAUUACAACAGCAUUGAUUCAUUUAAGUAUUGAUCCUUCUAUUCGUAAGAAGAAAGACACCAGCUAUUUCCUCAUCUCAAGAGGUAAAAAUCAGAAGACCUCUUCAGCGCGAGUGCAAAUAAGGACGUCAUUGAACAAUGAAUCAGGCAAAAUUCCCAAGGCCGACAAAGCUGUACGUGUUUCAAAAAGCUCAGACCGGAAGCAAAAAACGGAUAUCUUGUCGAUGUUCGUUUCAAUCUGCAUCACUGAAUGUUGCCUCGCGUUGUUGUUCUCAAUUGUCAGGAAAACUCCUGUCGAAAUCACACCCAGACUGCAGAUUAUUUUGAAAUAAUUGAUCUUUCUGCGGUCUGUCACAACCAACAACAUAUCUUCGGAACACCAGUUCCGGAAUGGCAUGCCUUCACACUUCGUCAUCAUUAAUGUACCAAUUUGUUGUCAGCUAACUUGUGUACUAAUGCUAGCUACGAUUAACGUUUAUUUCAUCAUACUGCUGCUGAUGGAUGUUCCGGGCCGUACGGGAUUGCUGACAUCAGUUCCUAUAGAGGUACACUGCUGGUCAUGAAACAAUAGCCAAGUAUACAGCAACAUUAUUAUUUUAUGUAAAAUGUUUUAUGAAAAUGUUUAAACUAAUAAAUAUUUUAUUUUAUACCCAUUUUAGAAAUAAAAAUUGUUUGCCUAA